This 368-nucleotide ribosomal RNA is filed under the name uncultured prokaryote. Its description in RNAcentral is "bacterial SSU rRNA". It matches the Rfam family "Bacterial small subunit ribosomal RNA", at positions 524 to 896 of the family's 1533-position model. The record is from RNAcentral.
UACGGAGGAUCCAAGCGUUAUCCGGAAUCAUUGGGUUUAAAGGGUCCGUAGGCGGUUUAAUAAGUCAGUGGUGAAAUCUGGUCGCUCAACGAUCAAACGGCCAUUGAUACUGUUAAACUUGAAUUAUUGUGAAGUAACUAGAAUAUGUAGUGUAGCGGUGAAAUGCUUAGAUAUUACAUGGAAUACCAAUUGCGAAGGCAGGUUACUAACAAUAUAUUGACGCUGAUGGACGAAAGCGUGGGGAGCGAACAGGAUUAGAUACCCUGGUAGUCCACGCCGUAAACGAUGGAUACUAGCUGUUGGGCGCAAGUUCAGUGGCUAAGCGAAAGUGAUAAGUAUCCCACCUGGGGAGUACGUUCGCAAGAAUG